GUACUGAGACACGGACCAGACUCCUACGGGAGGCAGCAGUGAGGAAUAUUGGACAAUGGGAGCAAUCCUGAUCCAGCCAUGCCGCGUGCAGGAAGACUGCCCUAUGGGUUGUAAACUGCUUUUAUACAGGAAGAAAAAGGUGUACGUGUACAUUGUUGACGGUACUGUAAGAAUAAGGAUCGGCUAACUCCGUGCCAGCAGCCGCGGUAAUACGGAGGAUCCAAGCGUUAUCCGGAAUCAUUGGGUUUAAAGGGUCCGUAGGCGGGAUAAUAAGUCAGUGGUGAAAGUCUGCAGCUCAACUGUAGAAUUGCCAUUGAUACUGUUGUUCUUGAGUUAUUGUGAAGUGGUUAGAAUGAGUAGUGUAGCGGUGAAAUGCAUAGAUAUUACUCAGAAUACCGAUUGCGAAGGCAGAUCACUAACAAUACACUGACGCUGAUGGACGAAAGCGUAGGUAGCGAACAGGAUUAGAUACCCUGGUAGUCUACGCCGUAAACGAUGGUUACUAGCUGUUCGGGUUAAUUGAGACCUGAGUGGCUAAGCGAAAGUGAUAAGUAACCCACCUGGGGAGUACGUUCGCAAGAAUGAAACUCAAAGGAAUUGACGG
RNAcentral lists this ribosomal RNA (604 nucleotides) under uncultured Bacteroidota bacterium. RNAcentral describes it as "bacterial SSU rRNA". It matches the Rfam family "Bacterial small subunit ribosomal RNA", at positions 316 to 916 of the family's 1533-position model. The record is from RNAcentral. Lineage: Bacteria; Pseudomonadati; Bacteroidota.